GAUGAAGAACGUAGCGAAAUGCGAUAAGUAGUGUGAAUUACAGAAUUCAGUGAAUCAUCGAAUCUUUGAACGCACAUUGCGCCCCUUGGUAUUCCAUGGGGCAUGCCUGUUCGAGCGUCAUUUGUACCUUCAAGCUUUGCUUGGUGUUGGGUGUUUGUCUCGCCUUUGCGUGUAGACUCGCCUUAAAAUAAUUGGCAGCCGGCGUAUUGAUUUCGGAGCGCAGUACAUCUCGCGCUUUGCACUCAUAACGACAGCGUCCAAAAGUACAUUUUACACUCUUGACCUCGGAUCAGGUAGGGAUACCCGCUGAACUUAAGCAUAUCAAUAAGCGGAGGA
Molecule: unclassified non-coding RNA, 336 nt
Filed under: soil metagenome
Description: partial contains 5.8S ribosomal RNA, internal transcribed spacer 2, and large subunit ribosomal RNA
Rfam family: 5.8S ribosomal RNA (bases 1-120)
Source: RNAcentral